GAUCAUGGCUCAGGAUGAACGCUAGCUACAGGCUUAACACAUGCAAGUCGAGGGGCGAGCAUUGGAGUAGCAAUACUCAGAUGGCGACCGGCGCACGGGUGAGUAACACGUAUCCAACCUGCCGCUUACUCGGGGAUAGCCUUUCGAAAGAAAGAUUAAUACCCGAUGGUAUAAAGAGUUCGCAUGUUCUCUUUAUUAAAGAAUUUCGGUAAGCGAUGGGGAUGCGUUCCAUUAGAUAGUUGGCGGGGUAACGGCCCACCAAGUCUACGAUGGAUAGGGGUUCUGAGAGGAAGGUCCCCCACAUUGGAACUGAGACACGGUCCAAACUCCUACGGGAGGCAGCAGUGAGGAAUAUUGGUCAAUGGACGAGAGUCUGAACCAGCCAAGUAGCGUGAAGGAAAAGAAGGAUCUAUGGUUCGUAAACUUCUUUUGCAGGGGAAUAAAGUGCAGGACGUGUCCUGUUUUGUAUGUACCCUGAGAAUAAGGAUCGGCUAACUCCGUGCCAGCAGCAGC
This 513-nucleotide ribosomal RNA is filed under the name uncultured bacterium. RNAcentral describes it as "bacterial SSU rRNA". It matches the Rfam family "Bacterial small subunit ribosomal RNA", at positions 15 to 518 of the family's 1533-position model. The record is from RNAcentral.